GCCCGGCAAGCUCAGUCGGUAAAGCGUGAGACUCUCAAUCUCAGGGUUGUGGGUUCGAGCCCCAUGUUGGGUG
Danio aesculapii is the source of this 73-nucleotide non-coding RNA. Lineage: Eukaryota; Metazoa; Chordata; Actinopteri; Cypriniformes; Danionidae. The record is from the annotation of a RefSeq genome assembly.